AGAGUUUGAUCCUGGCUCAGAUUGAACGCUGGCGGCAGGCCUAACACAUGCAAGUCGAGCGGAUGAUGGGAGCUUGCUCCCGGAUUCAGCGGCGGACGGGUGAGUAAUGCCUAGGAAUCUGCCUGGUAGUGGGGGACAACGUUUCGAAAGGAACGCUAAUACCGCAUACGUCCUACGGGAGAAAGCAGGGGACCUUCGGGCCUUGCGCUAUCAGAUGAGCCUAGGUCGGAUUAGCUAGUUGGUGGGGUAAAGGCCUACCAAGGCGACGAUCCGUAACUGGUCUGAGAGGAUGAUCAGUCACACUGGAACUGAGACACGGUCCAGACUCCUACGGGAGGCAGCAGUGGGGAAUAUUGGACAAUGGGCGAAAGCCUGAUCCAGCCAUGCCGCGUGUGUGAAGAAGGUCUUCGGAUUGUAAAGCACUUUAAGUUGGGAGGAAGGGCAGUAAGUUAAUACCUUGCUGUUUUGACGUUACCAACAGAAUAAGCACCGGCUAACUUCGUGCCAGCAGCCGCGGUAAUACGAAGGGUGCAAGCGUUAAUCGGAAUUACUGGGCGUAAAGCGCGCGUAGGUGGUUUGGUAAGAUGGAUGUGAAAUCCCCGGGGCUCACC
RNAcentral lists this ribosomal RNA (611 nucleotides) under uncultured bacterium. Its description in RNAcentral is "bacterial SSU rRNA". It matches the Rfam family "Bacterial small subunit ribosomal RNA", at positions 8 to 614 of the family's 1533-position model. The record is from RNAcentral.